ACUGUAAUAUGAGAACAGUUGACUGCAUACUCCUUGAGAAAAAAGAAUAGGAAUAGUCAACAAAUGGAUUUGCACCAAGACUCUGAUUGGUGGUGGUAAUAAUGGAGGAUUUAUACGAUACUUUCACUAAGAAAACCCUGGCAAACUCACCUCAGUAUCAGGCCCUGCCUUUAUCAGCUCAGGAUCAAAAAAGAAUAAAAUCUUCCUGAAGUCCUCUCGUGUUUGGAACAGCGAGAAGGAAAGGAACAUCAAAUACAGGACACUGCAACCUGAACAACAAGCAAACAGCUUCUGAUUUAGUCAUUUUUUAAAAAAUAUUUUAAGCCAAUAGCUAGAUCUGCAAGGGUAUUUACAAAUAGAGAAAUCAACUCUCACCAAAAACAAGCCUCCAUAUUGCAGGAUGGGGCCUGAUGAAGGGACCUGUGAAAAGUACCAAGUGCAAAUUCAAAAUAAACAAAUUAUUUUUAUAGCAUAUG
This is a long non-coding RNA of Nematostella vectensis (starlet sea anemone), 476 nucleotides long. RefSeq lists it as uncharacterized. The transcript has 2 exons. NCBI's taxonomy places the organism in Eukaryota, Metazoa, Cnidaria, Anthozoa, Actiniaria, Edwardsiidae. The record is from RefSeq and is a predicted model, not a curated record.